Long non-coding RNA from Orcinus orca (killer whale), 248 nucleotides. RefSeq lists it as uncharacterized. The record is from RefSeq and is a predicted model, not a curated record. The transcript is spliced from 3 exons. NCBI's taxonomy places the organism in Eukaryota, Metazoa, Chordata, Mammalia, Artiodactyla, Delphinidae.
AAGAGCUCCUGGGGCACAUCAACAUCCCUCCUGUCUAACAAUUAGCAGGUUGGUGAAGCUGAAGUUGGAUAUGACCCCUAUGGUGACGCUGCAAUGUGGCAGGGCAGCCCGACGUGAGCAGCUGUCCUGGGAUGUGGCUUUUUUGCUCUAACAAAUUGGAGAGCCAUCCCAGCAUAACUGAGGACCCAGAGUUGCUUUUUCUGGAAAACACAGUCCUUACUGCUUCUUUUCUUGGAGCACGGCUGUCA